GUGGAGUCAUGCUUCUACCCCAAAAUUACUCUGGGGUCUGGGCCCAGUACCGUGUAUAAAUUGUCCAUUGGCAGACAACAUCUCUUAAGCCAUGACUGGGUUUGUCCACCCAUUCUCUAACACUAAAAUUCUGGGGAGAAAACUGGUAGAAAAGAAUUUUUCUUUGUUUUCUCAUUUAGAUGUUGCCAUGCCCAAUGAUGACCCUGCAAAGGGGACACAAGACUCUUCCUUCGGCAAAACAAAUGUGACAGUCUAUCACUGUGAGAGCAAUAUAUGCGAAUUAAGCAAUUAUGAAGAUUGUGCAAAAAUUGGUGAAACACAGAAUGAGAGAUUUUCAAAUGAAAUAAUUCAGUUGGCGACCAGUGAAACACAGAUCACGAUGUGCUUUCAUCAAGGAAAUAUUUUUCCUGACGGAAUUUAUGCAAUCUUCUGGGAGAAAGACACGGGAGCAGGAGACUCAUGUGGCAUCCUGAAUUAUGAAGCUUCCUUGGAAAACAGGGGGGGAAACAUCAUUACAGAGGAGGCUAAAAUUUGCUGCGAAACAGGCACAGACCUCUCAAUGCCCAACCAUGCCCUGAGGUGCUACACUGAAGUGUUGGAUACAAAACCCAGAAAAUCAACAGCCUUCAUUGCUGGUGAGGGAAAUCAAUGUAAUAGCUUCAUGUAUGUGUUUGCCUUUUGCUUUGAGAGCGUUUUGCCUGGACAGAUGUGAACAGAGUUUCACAUGGGUGGCAUGGGGA
This 740-nucleotide long non-coding RNA is filed under the name Strigops habroptila (Kakapo). RNAcentral describes it as "lncRNA (ENSSHBG00005012736.1)". The record is from RNAcentral. Lineage: Eukaryota; Metazoa; Chordata; Aves; Psittaciformes; Psittacidae.